CACACUACGGAAGCGGAUAAAAUACAACGCUUGAAGUCCCGGAAACAUCAGUGUUGACCGUUCUUUCACUGGCUCAGUAAUGCCACUGUGUUGGUGACGAUAACAGGAGUCCAGCGCAAGCAGUCUGGAUCAACUUCAAGUAGACGAGGUUUGGCCUUUAGUCGGGCCAUCAUGUUGAGAUUAAGCAGGGUGGCUGUGAUAUCUUGAGGACAAAUUCCAGUGAAUUUGCUGAGUCUGCGGAUGGUAAGCUGUCUGUCUCUGAUCUCAUGCAGGCACUCCAGCACUACACUACGCCAGUAUGCCAUGUAGGAC
This is a long non-coding RNA of Myxocyprinus asiaticus (Chinese sucker), 312 nucleotides long. RefSeq lists it as uncharacterized. The record is from RefSeq and is a predicted model, not a curated record. The transcript has 3 exons. NCBI's taxonomy places the organism in Eukaryota, Metazoa, Chordata, Actinopteri, Cypriniformes, Catostomidae.